UUGGUCGGAUGGAGCCACACAUUCAUAGAA
This 30-nucleotide non-coding RNA is filed under the name Rattus norvegicus (Norway rat). Lineage: Eukaryota; Metazoa; Chordata; Mammalia; Rodentia; Muridae. The record is from RNAcentral.